RNAcentral lists this transfer RNA (71 nucleotides) under Rhodotorula toruloides. Its description in RNAcentral is "tRNA-Ala (TGC) cove score=52.29". It matches the Rfam family "tRNA". Rfam says of the family: Transfer RNA (tRNA) molecules are approximately 80 nucleotides in length. Their secondary structure includes four short double-helical elements and three loops (D, anti-codon, and T loops). The record is from RNAcentral. Lineage: Eukaryota; Fungi; Basidiomycota; Microbotryomycetes; Sporidiobolales; Sporidiobolaceae.
GGGUGUGUAGUAUAAUGGCAUUAUGCAGUGUUUGCAUCAUUGCGACCCUGGUUCGAUUCCAGGCACAUCCA